ACCUUAAUUACGGGUGAAUAAGAAUAUGUUUGAGAAACGGGUCAUAAGUUUGAGCCCAGUUGGUGGAAGGAAUCAAAAAGGUGAAGUGAGUGCUGAUGAAAUAGGGAAGAAUUAGUAGAGAAAUUGGUGAUGGAAAGGAAGAUGAAGGUCCGUUCCGAAAGGGAAAGGACGAAAGUGGUGAUUAGGCAUUUGCCCCCUUCUCUCACUCAAUCUGAUCUCUUCCAACACAUCGAUUCCCGCUUCUCUUCUCGCUACAAUUGGUUCUCUUUCCGUCCCGGCAACAACAGUCACAAGCGUCAGAGGCAUUCCCGAGCGUAUAUAGACUUCAAGUGUCCCCAAGAUGUAUUCGAGUUCGCUGAGUUCUUUGACGGACACGUUUUCGUUAACGAGAGAGGUGCACAGCAUAAAGCGAUUGUUGAGUACGCGCCUUCUCAGCGUGUUCCCAAGCCGAGUGCCAAAAAGGAUGGACGUGAAGGGACUAUAUACAAAGAUCCAGAUUAUCUUGAGUUCCUCAAACUCAUUGCGAAGCCGCACGAGCAUCUUCCUAGUGCAGAAAUACAGUUGGAAAGAAAAGAAGCUGAGCAAGCUGGGGCUAACAAGGACGCACCUAUUGUCACACCCUUGAUGGAAUAUGUUCGCCAGAAACGUGCUGUUGACAGUGGUAUGCAGGCUUCAUUGGCUGUGGCAAAAAUUAGCAGAAGAGCAAGAGCUGCUUUGCCAGGCAAGCCUGGCACAGGCAAUUCUAAACGAGGAUCUGAAAAGAAGAAGUAUGUUCAGAAGGACAAUGCCAAGAGUGCCAAUCGGAAGGAGUCAAAAGACAAGUCAGCCUUUAUUGUGGUCCCCCGGCGAGAGGAUCAAUCAGCUACAUCAAGUAUUAAAGGAAUUUCAGAAAUUGAAACUUUACAUGGCAUUGAAGGUCCCAUUUCUGGAAUUCCACUGACUUCUGACUCAGGAAAGAAAAAAUUCCUUCUUCUGAAAGGAAAACAACGAGAAAUUCCUAGUGCUGCUGAUAGUUUGGUAAAACAGCAAAAUGUACAAUCUGGAAACACUCCCAUUUCUGCAAAACAGAACCAGAGGCGUGAAGCUAGUGGAAGAUUGAUUAGGAGCAUACUUUUAAAUAAUGAAGCUCGUCAAAGUCAGUCUACAACUGGUACACAACAUAAAAUUCAAAUCUUAACUUCUGAGAAUGGGAAGCGGCCACCUCGUCCCUUUGGCUCAAGGUCCGGCUUAAAUGAUCAAGUCUCUGGUCAUGAUGCUGGUCAAGUCAAUUCUGAAGGGGAUUCUAAAAGGUCUUCGGAUGACAAGUUUGUAAAAAAGGAUCUGCAUGGUUCAGGUAAUGUAGGUGACAAAACAGAAAAACGUACUCGAAACAAGGAUAGACCUGAUCGCGGUGUUUGGACCCCUCUUCGUCGUUCUGAUGUUUCACAAACUGGUAAUGAGCACUCAUCAUCUUCAUUGACUCAGCCUACGCUUUCAAAUCCUGAUUCUGCUGAAGUUUCGGCAGGAGAAGCAAAAGAAAGUGUUUCUUCUGCAAACAGGAGCGGGGAAUUCCCUGCUUCUGCAGGUGGACGAGUCAGUUCCUCUGUAGAAAAUGGUUCUCAAAGAAAUUUUACUCGCCGUGGAUCUUCUUAUGUAGUGAAGGAUGAUGGUGCAGUCAGUUUGAAUGAAGGGAAACCUUCCAAGAAAGGUGGUGUUGGGCAUAGUGCUCAUGAGGUAUACAUGUCUGAUGGUGAUGUAUUUUGUCAUGCCUCUUUGCUUGAUUCAUUGUGUGUAAAAUGCUUAUUGUGUCCGCAGAAACAAGUCUGGGUUCAGAAAUCAUCUUCAGGUUCUUAAAUAUUUGUGGUAAGUCCUUGUUUAUUUGCUUUUGAUUUUAUUGUUUGAUGUCUCUUCUAACUGAGCUUCAGUGCUUAUCAUAUCAUUUUGGGAAUUAAUCACUCGUUCUGAUAAAAAGGUUGAUCUCUUUGAAAAUCUUCUGUGAAAUUGGUGUUUAGUUGUGAUAAGUUUGUGAUUGCUUUUGACUGCUAAUAAACCUAGUGUGUUUGACUUUUUGAUUAAGAUAUAGUUCCUGUGUGGGUAAACUUCUAAAGUUCUCCUGGAGAAAAAAUCAGUAUUAAAAAUAAAUAAAACUUAUCCCAUAAAUUAGAAACAACUUAUACUUCUGUAUUUUAUGAGAAGUUCUGGUAAGCUCUCUCAUUUAGCUUAUUUAAAAUUUGAAGAGAGAAGCUGUUUUUAACUUAUAGAAGUUUUAUUCAUUAUUUAUACUAUUUUUUUCCUUCUAUAAUGAUUUCUCUAGAAGUUCACCCAAACAUGGCCAUAGUUUUUGAAAAUAUAUAUAUCAGUGGCAAGUUCUUCCAUUAGUCCUAAUUUAUUUUAAAAAACAGGAGAAAAGAUAGGAAAAGCCAUGGUGGUGAAAAUUACACCAUAGUCAUUACACUACCAGGUUCCAGCCUUUGCUUUGCAAUUUACAUCAUUAACAAUUUUUCCUUAUUCCAAUAUUAAUGAGCGAAAAACAUUUUGUUGUCUUCCCCUUAGGUAUAAUUUCAAUUGAUAUUGAUUUUUCCAAGAUCUAUUUUAUUUCUAAAUAUCUUGCAUUUAAUUGUCGCAAGAGAGUCUAAUGAUUUCUUUGAUGUGAUUAUAUUAUCAAAUUCCACAUGUUCAAUGAUUUGGAUUAUGGAACUGAAUUAGUAUUCGAUGGUAGCAUCAAUAAAUGUAUAAUUAAUUGCUUACAGAAAAAUAGGAAUUGUAUAUUUGUCCAUCAUUAAUUGGUUAUGGUCUUAUAAUUGUUCAGAUGUUACAUAUGAUAAUGAUUUUGCCAAGCAUAACCCUUAGGAAACUUGUCAGUUUUGAAGUUUUUAUUGGAAAUCAUGACAUAAUGCAUUAAGGGUCGGUUUGGUGAAUAUGAAAUGAUAGAAAAUAAGAUGAGAGUUAUAUAAAAAGAACCUUGAACGAAGUUAUUUAGAGACAUUUUGAUUAACUAGAUUUUUGAAAAUUUAAUUUUUUACUUAGGUCAUGUGAUUCAUGUAGCUGACUUCAUCUAGUUAGCUAAGGCUUGAUUGUUGUUGUUGUUGUUGUUAUGUUUGAUGCACAUUAGGAUAGUAAAUUAAAUAAUACUGUCAUCCUAUCCAACAUUAGAGAUAAAUAAAAAGUAAUAUAACGAUAUAAAAUAUAUUUAAAUGACAAAAUUACUGUUUUAUCAAAAUUAAUAUGAUUUUUUAAAAUAAAAUUUAAAAUGUGUACAAUUAAUAUUAAAUUUUGAUAUUAAAUUAUAAAAAUUUUCUUAAAAAGUGCUGCAGUCAAAAUAUAAAUUUGUGGUAAAUUAUAAUUUAAAAAAUGAAUUAUAAAAAAAUUAAAACUAUAUUUUAUACAAUGAAUAAAAUAUAUUUUAUAAAAGUACAUUUUUCAAUAAAAAUCUUUUGUGAAAAAAUAUUUUUGAAAGCAUUUUUUAUUAUAAAUAGUGUUCAUAUAAUUUUUUUAUAAAAUAUUAUUGAGGUAUGAGUAAGGCAGAAAAGAAAAAGUUAUCUUGUCCUGUUAAUUUUUUACUUAUCACUCUUCUCAAAGUCAGAAUUUAAACUAUUAGAAUAGGAUAGGAUCACUCAACAGUAUAAGUUCGGCUCAACAAACACUGAAAAUAUAAUAGAGUAGGAUAAACUAUCCUAUCAUGAUCUCUUAUUCCAACUACAACUGUUAUCCUUUUCACUUUUCACUUUGAUUUGGCAAUGGUUAGCAAAACUGAUAUAAUAAUCACAUCAAACUGUAAUAAUUAUUUUACAUGUUGAAGUCUAAUGAAUGUUUGAUGGAUUAUUAACAUUCACAAAUAAGUGAUCAGAUGUUCCUAAUCUUUUUAAGGACAUCAUGUGAAUCUUUGCAUUUAGCUACUGGCAAAAUCAAAUUCACUAAAAUUGGGGUUGAAAACUAGAAUGAAAAAUUAUAGACCACAGCGGGGUAAUCUUGAAAUAUCUUUCACAUGAAACUAAAAGCUUUUUAAUCCUUCUGUUAUGUGCACAUCUUUAGAAGCAUAUGCCAAACAAUAACUUAAGUCAUUUGGGAGUUUAUUACUUAAAUCUCCAGUUAUUUUGACAGCAAAUUCUAGAAAUUUCUGGCUUCUUGAUGAGCUUUGAAAAGAUAAAGGAUUUUCAUUCUGAUGUGAGAUUUAAGUACAUGUUGGUUAUUUUCUUUGACUCUACUUCAUUAUCUGAGUAGGAUGGAACAACAGAAUCUCAUGCCAGUGCUAACUGUAUCAACCCAUUAAUUAAUGAUAUGCCAAUAAUUUAUGAUGUUAGUGUGCCGAACAUAAUUGCACCUUCUUUAUGCAAGAAUAUUUUGUUUCCAAAGGUGAGAUUAUUUGAUAUAAUGCCAUUUGUGUUAGUUACAAUCCAUCGAAGAAAGGUGGUUAUUUAACUAAAUUUUUACCAUCAUAUAAUUGUCCUUGGUUAGUGAUAAUAAGUUAGAUUGGUGCCUAUAAAUGUCAUAUCUGAUAUCUGGUAUUGUAGUUUUGAGUUAUUAUGUUGAUACUAGAAUAUUUUGAGUAAAAAUUGUUACUUCAAAUUUUAACCUUGUGCUUUUAUUGUUGAAUGAAUGUGUAGAGUAAUAACUAAAAGAUGCUGCUUUACCUUUAUUUAGUAAUUAGUACGCUCGUUUAUCUUGUGGUGUAAAGAGUAUUGAUUUCAUUCAGUAUUGCUGUUAUCUUUUGUAAUGUUAUAAAUAGAUUAUGGACACUCAGUCAGGGCAUCAUUCCUGCUAUGUUGAGCUACGGUCUCCGUCUAGGACAUCUUCCACAACUGAUUCAGGCCAACCUGAGCCUGAGCGACUUUUAAGAAAAAUUAUCCAGUUGUUGCCUGACGGAGCCUGCACAAUGAAGGGAAUGCAAAGUUACAGACCUCGUUGACAUGAUUAUCUACUGAAAACAGAUUGGCAUUGUUAACCAUGUUCGUGGGUUAGACCCUUUAUGGUUCGUGUCUCCUUAAAUUGAAUAUUUCAGUGUUGGGAAAUGUUUGUGUUUGGGAUGUAACUGUAUAGUGCUUGGUACUUACCAUGGGAUAGUAGGAUGGGAAGAGUGAAGCAUUUUGUCCCGUCCAGUGGACGUGCGAGUAGUUAAAUAGUUUCUUGUAUUUAAGCCUUAUUACUUUAUUUUACCGUGCGCAUGGUGCACGUGUUAUUGUAAGGAUAUUAACUUGUCUUUGGUACUCUAGAAUCACCCCGAUUCCAUGCACAUGUCAUGAAUGAUGAAUUUCUCUUUUAAUUAAUGAAGAAAUU
Molecule: RNA transcript, 5253 nt
Organism: Abrus precatorius (Indian licorice)
Lineage: Eukaryota; Viridiplantae; Streptophyta; Magnoliopsida; Fabales; Fabaceae
Gene name: regulator of nonsense transcripts UPF3-like
Exons: 12
Source: RefSeq, a predicted model, not a curated record